This 505-nucleotide ribosomal RNA is filed under the name uncultured bacterium. RNAcentral's name for it is "partial 16S ribosomal RNA". It matches the Rfam family "Bacterial small subunit ribosomal RNA", at positions 28 to 507 of the family's 1533-position model. The record is from RNAcentral.
GACGAACGCUGGCGGCGUGCCUAAUACAUGCAAGUAGAACGCACAGUUUAUACCGUAGCUUGCUACACCAUAGACUGUGAGUUGCGAUCGGGUGAGUAACGCGUAGGUAACCUGCCUGGUAGCGGGGGAUAACUAUUGGAAACGAUAGCUAAUACCGCAUAAUAUUAAUUAUUGCAUGAUAAUUAAUUGAAAGGUGCAAUUGCACCACUACCAGAUGGACCUGCGUUGUAUUAGCUAGUAGGUGAGGUAACGGCUCACCUAGGCGACGAUACAUAGCCGACCUGAGAGGGUGAUCGGCCACACUGGGACUGAGACACGGCCCAGACUCCUACGGGAGGCAGCAGUAGGGAAUCUUCGGCAAUGGACGAAAGUCUGACCGAGCAACGCCGCGUGAGUGAAGAAGGUUUUCGGAUCGUAAAGCUCUGUUGUAAGAGAAGAACGGGUGUGAGAGUGGAAGGUUCACACUGUGACGGUAUCUUACCAGAAAGGGACGGCUAACUACGUG